This 253-nucleotide ribosomal RNA is filed under the name uncultured bacterium. Its description in RNAcentral is "partial 16S ribosomal RNA". It matches the Rfam family "Bacterial small subunit ribosomal RNA", at positions 524 to 776 of the family's 1533-position model. The record is from RNAcentral.
UACGGAGGGUGCAAGCGUUGCUCGGAAUUAUUGGGCGUAAAGAGUGUGUAGGCGGUGCUCUAAGUUCGGUGUGAAAUCUCCUGGCUCAACUGGGAGGGUGCGCCGGAAACUGGAGUGCUUGAGCGUGGGAGAGGAAAGCGGAAUUCCUGGUGUAGCGGUGAAAUGCGUAGAUAUCAGGAGGAACACCUGUGGUGUAGACGGCUUUCUGGACCAUAGCUGACGCUGAGACACGAAAGCGUGGGUAGCAAACAGG